UGGGGAAUAUUGGACAAUGGGGGGCAACCCUGAUCCAGCAAUGCCGCGUGUGUGAAGAAGGUCUUCGGAUUGUAAAGCACUUUCGACGGGGACGAUGAUGACGGUACCCGUAGAAGAAGCCCCGGCUAACUUCGUGCCAGCAGCCGCGGUAAUACGAAGGGGGCUAGCGUUGCUCGGAAUGACUGGGCGUAAAGGGCGUGUAGGCGGUUUACACAGUCAGAUGUGAAAUCCCCGGGCUUAACCUGGGAGCUGCAUUUGAUACGUGUAGACUAGAGUGUGAGAGAGGGUUGUGGAAUUCCCAGUGUAGAGGUGAAAUUCGUAGAUAUUG
RNAcentral lists this ribosomal RNA (328 nucleotides) under uncultured bacterium. RNAcentral describes it as "partial 16S ribosomal RNA". It matches the Rfam family "Bacterial small subunit ribosomal RNA", at positions 355 to 699 of the family's 1533-position model. The record is from RNAcentral.